GGUUGCCCGAAUUUUACCAAAAUCUUUGUCGCUUCAUCGGCUGAAAUCUUGCCAUGAUACCAAGGUGGAACUCCUCGAGCCAUGCAACGACUCGUAUGAAAUGACCACUUUUUGAAAUAACGACAUUUUGGUGGAAAAAAAAGUAGACACAAAGGCAGACAAAAAGGUUGAUACAAAGGUGAACACAACGGUUGACAAAAAAGUGAAAUAAAAGGUGGUCAGAAAGGUAGACACAAAGAUAGACAAAAAGACAGACAAAAAGGUAGAAAGAAAGACAAAAGACUAUGUAAACGAAUAUAAGUAUCAACAAAACUAUCGUACCGCUUGAACAAGUAACCAAAAGUCGGAACCGUGACAAUCUUAUACCAGUAAUUGGAUCGAUGGAAAAGGCCUUAACAAAACCGAUGAAACUUUAGGUUUUGGUUUUGUGUCAAUUACUGUCGACUUUGAGAAAAAUUUUACGCGAUUUUACAAGAGAUUGAGUACAGAAAAAAGUCCUCAUUAUAGAAAAUAUGUAACUGCAAUUCUUUUAAGUGCAACGUCAGUGAAAUGCAUGAAAGAGUUAGUUUUUACAGUGAAAAUUUUUCCUGAAAGAGUUGGUCUAAGUUUAGAAUUUCUUGAGUUUACAGUUAUUCCAUUAUGAUGUUUAUGUCACGCAUAAUUUUAUGAACAGUUCUAUACAGGCAACAUUAC
Molecule: long non-coding RNA, 693 nt
Organism: Xenia sp. Carnegie-2017
Lineage: Eukaryota; Metazoa; Cnidaria; Anthozoa; Malacalcyonacea; Xeniidae
Exons: 2
Source: RefSeq, a predicted model, not a curated record